Cinara cedri is the source of this 488-nucleotide non-coding RNA. Lineage: Eukaryota; Metazoa; Arthropoda; Insecta; Hemiptera; Aphididae. The record is from the annotation of a GenBank genome assembly.
UGUUCCGGGAUACGUAGUCAUAAAUCACACGCUCGUCUUUCUCGCAACAGUAUAAAACGCGCGCGCCCACGAACACGUAAUAUAUCAUGGGUAGGUAUAAUGCACGGUUCGAGUCCAGCGUUUAGUCGGGAAUUCGGUUAUCGUAGGGAACAACGGUUAUACAGGGUAUCGUUUUCGUUUGUUUUGAUUUACCACGAUUCGGAGAUUUUCCCGCACGGUUUUAACUAAACGUUCGAAUUAUUAUUUUUUUAUUAUUUUUUUUUUUUUCAAUUUUAUAAAACUGUUUAUUCGACAUAUUGGGGUUAGAAACAGUUUUUAAAACCGUCUUAAGACCAUUCCCAGAGUUUGAAAACCCUUUUCAUUAUGAUACGUUCCCGGUAAUUUACCGCCCGAUACCCAUAGACAAAUGAGUUUUGAUUUCUUGUCCAAGUUGUAUAGGAACAUUUUUUUUUCUUUUUUUUUUUAUUUAGUUCAAGUACACGAUGAAG